GACACCGUGGCCGAGUGGUUAAGGCGAUGGCCUGCUAAGCCAUUACUCUCUGGGUGCGCGAGUUCGAAUCUCGUCGGUGUCG
Molecule: transfer RNA, 82 nt
Rfam family: tRNA
About the family: Transfer RNA (tRNA) molecules are approximately 80 nucleotides in length.
Source: Rfam